RNAcentral lists this ribosomal RNA (491 nucleotides) under uncultured bacterium. Its description in RNAcentral is "partial 16S ribosomal RNA". It matches the Rfam family "Bacterial small subunit ribosomal RNA", at positions 29 to 506 of the family's 1533-position model. The record is from RNAcentral.
AGUGAACGCUGGCGGUAGGCCUAACACAUGCAAGUCGAACGGCAGCACAGUAAGAGCUUGCUCUUACGGGUGGCGAGUGGCGGACGGGUGAGGAAUACAUCGGAAUCUACUUUUUCGUGGGGGAUAACGUAGGGAAACUUACGCUAAUACCGCAUACGACCUACGGGUGAAAGCAGGGGAUCUUCGGACCUUGCGCGAUUGAAUGAGCCGAUGUCGGAUUAGCUAGUUGGCGGGGUAAAGGCCCACCAAGGCGACGAUCCGUAGCUGGUCUGAGAGGAUGAUCGGCCACACUGGAACGGAGACACGGUCCAGACUCCUACGGGAGGCAGCAGUGGGGAAUAUUGGACAAUGGGCGCAAGCCUGAUCCAGCCAUACGGCGGGGGUGAAGAAGGCCUUCGGGUUGUAAAGCCCUUUUGUUGGGAAAGAAAAGCAGCAGGUUAAUACCCCGCUGUUCUGACGGUACCCAAAGAAUAAGCACCGGCUAACUUCGU